This 23-nucleotide small nuclear RNA is filed under the name Arabidopsis thaliana (thale cress). Its description in RNAcentral is "snRNA_07787". The record is from RNAcentral. Lineage: Eukaryota; Viridiplantae; Streptophyta; Magnoliopsida; Brassicales; Brassicaceae.
CGAAUUUCUCAUGUUUUAAAUGG